RNAcentral lists this non-coding RNA (21 nucleotides) under Caenorhabditis elegans. The record is from RNAcentral. Lineage: Eukaryota; Metazoa; Nematoda; Chromadorea; Rhabditida; Rhabditidae.
UCACGGCAUUUAACACCGAAU